UGAAAUAGCGCACUGAAGUAAACGAAAGCAGAGAUUAAGUCUCGUACCUUUUGCAUCAUGAUCUAGCCAGUAAUUUCAAGCGAAGAGACCUCUAGUUUGAACCCCCGAAACCGGACGAGCUACUCCGGGACAGCCUAUUUAAGGGCCAACCCGUCUCUGUGGCAAAAGAGUGGGAAGAUCCCCGAGUAGAGGUGAAAGACCUACCGAGUCAGGUUAUAGCUGGUUGCCCAAGAAAUGGAUAGAAGUUCAGCCCCGAAAGCCCUAGCCCAUUGCGGUCCCACCAAGAUAAGGCAUAAGGACAUCAGCGGGAGUAAGUCAAAGGAGGUACAGCUCCCUUGACAAAGGAUACAACCUUCACAGGAGGCUAAGGAGUACAAUUUACCCAAGGCUAUGGGUUUCAGUGGGCCUAAAAGCAGCCACCUGACUAGAAAGCGUUAAAGCUCAUACCAAAUCAAGCCUAUUAUACCACCAAAAACCUUCAACGCCCCUAAAACAUAUUGGGCCCUUCCAUGCCCCCAUGGAAGAGACCAUGCUAGAACGAGUAAUAAGAAGAACGAACUUCUCCCCGCACAUGUGUAAGUCGAAUCGGACCCUCCAUCGACAACUAACGAACCCACCAAAAGAGGGACAUGCAUCACUGCCUAAUCAAGCCAAGAAAAGCAUGCAAGCUGAAAUCGUUACCCCCACACAGGAGUGCUUAGAACAAAGGGAAAGACUUAAAGGAUAAAAAGGAACUCGGCAAACCUAGACCCCGCCUGUUUACCAAAAACACCGCCUCCUGCUUGUUUUAACCAUAGGAGGUCCCGCCUGCCCUGUGACCAAAAGUUUAACGGCCGCGGUAUUUUAACCGUGCAAAGGUAGCGCAAUCAAUUGUCUUUUAAAUGGAGACCUGUAUGAAUGGCACCACGAGGGUUUGACUGUCUCUUUCUCCCGGUCAAUGAAACUGAUCUGCCCGUGCAGAAGCGGGCAUACUUGCACAAGACGAGAAGACCCUAUGGAGCUUUAGACGCCCACCAACCAUGAAAAGCGGUCCAGCCAAUGGACCUUCAAAUAGCAUGGCUUUGGCACAAACGUCUUCGGUUGGGGCGACCACGGGGGAAAGCAAAGCCCCCGAGAGGAUUGGAGUAGUACUUCAAAACCGAGAGCCACAGCUCUAAGUCACAAAAAAUUUGACCUACAAUGAUCCGGCUUACUGCCGAUCAACGGACCAAGUUACCCUAGGGAUAACAGCGCAAUCCUCUCCCAGAGUCCAUAUCGACGAGAGGGUUUACGACCUCGAUGUUGGAUCAGGACAUCCUAAUGGUGCAGCCGCUAUUAA
RNAcentral lists this ribosomal RNA (1318 nucleotides) under Harengula jaguana (scaled sardine). RNAcentral describes it as "partial 16S ribosomal RNA". It matches the Rfam family "Bacterial large subunit ribosomal RNA", at positions 539 to 2568 of the family's 2925-position model. Lineage: Eukaryota; Metazoa; Chordata; Actinopteri; Clupeiformes; Clupeidae. The record is from RNAcentral.